This 764-nucleotide ribosomal RNA is filed under the name uncultured Pseudoalteromonadaceae bacterium. RNAcentral's name for it is "bacterial SSU rRNA". It matches the Rfam family "Bacterial small subunit ribosomal RNA", at positions 28 to 776 of the family's 1533-position model. The record is from RNAcentral. Lineage: Bacteria; Pseudomonadati; Pseudomonadota; Gammaproteobacteria; Alteromonadales; Pseudoalteromonadaceae.
AUUGAACGCGGCGGCAGGCCUAACACUGCAAGUCGAGCGGAAACGAGUUAUCUGAACUUCGGGGAACGAAAAGGCGUCGAGCGGCGGACGGGUGAGUAAGCCUAGGAAAUUGCCCUGAUGUGGGGGAUAACCAUUGGAAACGAUGGCUAAUACCGCAUGAUGCCUACGGGCCAAAGAGGGGGACCUUCGGGCCUCUCGCGUCAGGAUAUGCCUAGGUGGGAUUAGCUAGUUGGUGAGGUAAGGGCUCACCAAGGCGACGAUCCCUAGCUGGUCUGAGAGGAUGAUCAGCCACACUGGAACUGAGACACGGUCCAGACUCCUACGGGAGGCAGCAGUGGGGAAUAUUGCACAAUGGGCGCAAGCCUGAUGCAGCCAUGCCGCGUGUAUGAAGAAGGCCUUCGGGUUGUAAAGUACUUUCAGUCGUGAGGAAGGUAGUGUAGUUAAUAGCUGCAUUAUUUGACGUUAGCGACAGAAGAAGCACCGGCUAACUCCGUGCCAGCAGCCGCGGUAAUACGGAGGGUGCGAGCGUUAAUCGGAAUUACUGGGCGUAAAGCGCAUGCAGGUGGUUUGUUAAGUCAGAUGUGAAAGCCCGGGGCUCAACCUCGGAAUAGCAUUUGAAACUGGCAGACUAGAGUACUGUAGAGGGGGGUAGAAUUUCAGGUGUAGCGGUGAAAUGCGUAGAGAUCUGAAGGAAUACCGGUGGCGAAGGCGGCCCCCUGGACAGAUACUGACACUCAGAUGCGAAAGCGUGGGGAGCAAACAGG